AGUGAACGCUGGCGGCAGGCCUAACACAUGCAAGUCGAGCGGCAGCGCGGGGGCAACCCUGGCGGCGAGCGGCGGACGGGUGAGGAAUUCGUCGGAAUCUGCCUUUUUGUGGGGGAUAACGUAGGGAAACUUACGCUAAUACCGCAUACGUCCUACGGGAGAAAGUGGGGGACCGCAAGGCCUCACGCAGAAAGAUGAGCCGACGACCGAUUAGCUAGUUGGUGGGGUAAAGGCCCACCAAGGCGACGAUCGGUAGCUGGUCUGAGAGGAUGAUCAGCCACACGGGGAAUGAGAAACGGCCCAGACUCCUUAGGGAGGCCGCAGUUGGGAAUAUUGGACAAUGGGGGGAAGCCUGGUCCAGCCAUGCCGGGUGUGUUAAAGAGGCCCUUGGGUUGUAAAGCACUUUUGUCCGGAAAGAAAUCCCUGGAGCUAAUACCUUCGGGGGAUGACGGUACCGGAAGAAUAAGCACCGGCUAACUUCGUG
Molecule: ribosomal RNA, 484 nt
Filed under: uncultured bacterium
Lineage: Bacteria
Description: partial 16S ribosomal RNA
Rfam family: Bacterial small subunit ribosomal RNA
Source: RNAcentral